Ictidomys tridecemlineatus (thirteen-lined ground squirrel) is the source of this 3524-nucleotide non-coding RNA. NCBI's taxonomy places the organism in Eukaryota, Metazoa, Chordata, Mammalia, Rodentia, Sciuridae. The record is from RefSeq and is a predicted model, not a curated record.
ACUCCGUACUCCACAGUUAUUCUUCCCUCUGACAGCUUUUGUCUGUAGGCAGGAGACUGAACUGAUGGUUGGGGCCUCUGUGAGUUAUAAACCCUAUAAGGUAUGGCACAGUAUGGGGAAAUAAGUGACUUUACUUUUUCUUUCUUUUUUUAGACAGAAUCCAACUAUUUGUCCAGGCUGGCUUCAUAGUCACAAUCCUUCUGCUUCUGAGUGUCUGGAAUUAUAGGUGCCCCACUGACUUUUGAAGGAACCUUCCACUGAAUCAGAAAAGCCAGACUCUGCCCUCUGCAGCAUUGCCAACAGGAUCUGCUGUCUGCUUUGAGAAUGACCAGUCUUACAAGAUUUAAAUAAGCCCUCAACAAAGUUGAAGGAAGUUAACAUUCAGGGACUCUUCAUAAAAAAGAAAGGAUUUCACCUGGACAUCCCUCUUCUGCUUUAUUGCAUCAAGGAAAGUUGGGCUCUAUUCUGAUUUUUUAAGGGUCUUACAGGAAGCAAGCCUAUGAAUCAAAGACUCAACGGAGUGACCUAAUUGCUAGUCUAGGCUUCCUGCCACUGGCACCUCACCAAACCAUUCACUCCUUCAGAAGAUUUCUUUUCAGAAAUUGAGAGCACUAAUUAUUUGCAGCUGUUGCUGCGCUUGCUGUGACAACCUGAAGGGCUCACCUGAGCCGUCUGGCAGACCCACCAGAGAAUCCUGUGGAAGUCAAAGAUGGGGCAUAUGGAAAUUAUAGGAGGAGAUUCCUCAGAGAAAUCAGAAAAAUCUCAAUAGGAUUAUAUAUUUUGCUUAAAAGCAGGGAACUCUGGAUCUGUUCGCUUUAGAGAGAAAGUACCAGCAGGGAAUUAUAGACCAUAACAAAAGUAAUGAUCAGUGAAGAGGAUGAAGGGAGAGAGGACGAGUCACCACUCUGAGACUGGCAUCCGGGAAAGCAGUGGCUUGUGGCUGGCAGGUUGGAAGUGGAGCAUAACCCAGCCCCUUGGAUAGUUCAGAAACAACCAUAGUGAGUGGAAAUGUUACACCUGGUAGCAAUCUCGGGAUGGGAAUGGAUCAGGACUGACCUGGAAGGAAGUGAGAUCCUACUGGGGACUGACUAGGUGGAGCAUCACCUGUAGGACAUUCAACCAAAACCCCCAGGAAUGGGCACCCUUUAACCGAGAAAGACCUGGAAAUAUUAUUCCUUCAACCCUUUCUAAACAGAGACUGAAGAAUCAUUUUGAAAAGUUAGGAAGUUGGGAGAGAUGUCUUUUUUGUUUUAUUUUUAUUUUUUUUUUGAGUCCAAACUAUUCCAUCAAUGUCGCAAAGAGUCAUAGUCAAUAAUUUUUAAGACAUCAAAGAGUUUUCCUGCAUUUUUGAAAACCUAUGCAUAUUGAAAAAUACUUUUAUAGUUCACGUCAAGAUACAUUAUUCUAGUCACUCAGAGAAUAGCUAGAGUUAAAUCAUUCUAGGUUCUUGAAUGGCAAAGAAUAUCCUUAAAUGAGGAUGCCUAGGGAAAUUUACUAUGAUAGAAUGUUCCCCAAAGAGUUCAUGUGUUAGAGCAACAACGUUCAGAGGUGAAAAGAUUGAAAUAUGAGAGCUGCAGUGGAUUAAUCCAUUUGAUGAAUUAAUUCUAGUGAAUUGCUGGUACUAGAGGCCGGUGAGUGUCGCUGGAGAAGUAGACCACUGCAGGUGUGGUCUUGGACUAUGUCUGUGUACGGUCCUUCUGCUCUCUUACUCUGUGCUUGCUGGCUGCCAUGAACUCGGCUGUUUCUUCCACUACACCUUCUGCUGUCACCUCAGGCCCAAAGCAAUGGAAUCUGCCAUCCAUGGAUUAAGACCUCUGAAACUCUGAGUCCAAAGUAAACUUUUCCUCCUCUAGUUUGUUCUUGUCAUGUCUUUUGGUCCCAGUGACACAACGCUGACUAACACCUUUACACUGUGUUUUUCACAAGUUGCAUUACAUAAGCCAUCUUUCAUAAAAUAGAAGACAAUGUGACAGCUCACCUUGCCUCUUUGGGUUAAUGAUUACAGAGUGGAGGUGGGGGAACUAUUCUCUAUCACACAUCAAACUGUGGCCUGGAUUUACUAACUGGGCUGACUUUUGAAUCUACUACUAUUUUCCCUUAAGAGGCCCUCCCCUCUCUUCCCAUCAGGGACAGACGUUCUGAGGUCCUGGCUCCUUAAUAGAGCUACCCCAGAUGCUCUAUCAUUCCUGUUAAAAGGAAAGAGUAAAUUCAACAAUGUGACUGACGAAGAUUUAAGUGUUCGCCCUCUCUGUCCAAUUUGAGUGGUAAUAAAAAUCAUUAAGCCUCAUUAAAAAUAUAAGCAAUUUCUCAGACAAAAUCAUUAUAAGACAAAAUCAUUAUAAGGUAUCAAAAUUUCUCUUCAAGCCCACAUCAAGGGAAAAGUUUUCUGGAAAGCCAAUUGAAUGAUUUAUCUGUUGGUAGAAAGACUUAAAGUGAAAGAAGAGAGCAUAAACUCUGAUUCGUAGAUUGGGUAAGGAAAUUUUAAAAAUGUAGUCUAAAAUCAUCAGACUCAGAACUGAGGAUCUUGCUCAGUGAUAUAGCAUGUGCUUGGCAUGAUCAAGGCCCUGAUAGUAAAUAAAUAAAUAAUCAAACUCUUCAAGGGAUCAAAGAUUAUAGUUUAUUAGGUUGCUUCUAGGGUUGAUAGAUAGACAUGGGGUUCACAAAAGGAUUGCUUAAACUCAUUAAAAUCUAUCAAGUAAAAUUCCAAUUUCUGUUCAGAUACAGCCACUGAUCACAUUCGAUCAUUAACUUUUGCUUCAGCUUAGAACUGGAACUAAUUUUUUUUCUCAUAUGUAACCUGAAUAUUAUUUUGUACCUUUCCAUGAUCUGCAUUUUUAAAUAUUAACAAAUGUUCCAUUAACAAAGAGAGGAUGACAUUUUCAAAAAAGCAAGGAAUUCAAUAAUUACAACUACAAUAUCGAUCUUUAGCUUGACCCCUUGAGUGAAAUUGAUAAGUGAGAUGUCAUAUCUUGACUUUAAACUUUGGGAAAAACAGCUUCUGACCAAUUCAGUAGACAGAAAAUUAGAAGCAGACUACAGUAGGCUUUUGACUACCAGACAAUUUAUUUCUAUACUCAUAAAACAAUGCAUAGAAACAAAAAUAAAGUUUGGAAGCAAAUCCAAAUAAUACUGUAACACUUAAAAAUAUAAAUACACUAUAUGGUACUGUAACACUUAAAAUAUAAAUAUACUAUAUUUGCAUAUUUAGUAAAAAAUAAACAAAAUCACCACAUGAAGUUAUAUAGAUAUUGUUUUGUUCUAUAGAAUCUUUGAAGACAUUCUGCUAUACUAUGAACUAGAACGGAGCUGUGAAUUCCUAAUCUUCUUGGUGGUCUCUCAUAAGCUUUUGUAAGCUAUUGAAAGCUGCCUCUGUAGAUAGUGAGGCUAUUGUAUGAAAAGCCUUAUAAUAAAGUAGUUCAAAAGAAGCCUUUACCAAUCACCAGUUGUGUGAAUUUAUGUGAAUUAUUUAAUCACCCUGUGCCAGCCAAACUAUUAAUGCAGAUAAAACACUUAGAACAAUACUA